UACGUAGGGCGCAAGCGUUGUCCGGAAUUAUUGGGCGUAAAGAGCUCGUAGGCGGCUUGUCACGUCGGGGUGUGAAAGCCCGGGGCUUAACCCCGGGUCUGCAUUCGAUACGGGCUAGCUAGAGUGUGGUAGGGGAGAUCGGAAUUCCUGGUGUAGCGGUGAAAUGCGCAGAUAUCAGGAGGAACACCGGUGGCGAAGGCGGAUCUCUGGGCCAUUACUGACGCUGAGGAGCGAAAGCGUGGGGGAGCGAACAGG
This 255-nucleotide ribosomal RNA is filed under the name uncultured bacterium. RNAcentral's name for it is "partial 16S ribosomal RNA". It matches the Rfam family "Bacterial small subunit ribosomal RNA", at positions 524 to 776 of the family's 1533-position model. The record is from RNAcentral.